Molecule: ribosomal RNA, 714 nt
Filed under: bacterium B312CA
Lineage: Bacteria
Description: bacterial SSU rRNA
Rfam family: Bacterial small subunit ribosomal RNA
Source: RNAcentral
UAGAAUUCCAGGUGUAGCGGUGAAAUGCGUAGAGAUCUGGAGGAAUACCGAUGGCGAAGGCAGCCAUCUGGCCUAACACUGACGCUGAGGUGCGAAAGCAUGGGGAGCAAACAGGAUUAGAUACCCUGGUAGUCCAUGCCGUAAACGAUGUCUACUAGCCGUUGGGGCCUUUGAGGCUUUAGUGGCGCAGCUAACGCGAUAAGUAGACCGCCUGGGGAGUACGGUCGCAAGACUAAAACUCAAAUGAAUUGACGGGGGCCCGCACAAGCGGUGGAGCAUGUGGUUUAAUUCGAUGCAACGCGAAGAACCUUACCUGGCCUUGACAUAGUAAGAACUUUCCAGAGAUGGAUUGGUGCCUUCGGGAACUUACAUACAGGUGCUGCAUGGCUGUCGNCAGCUCGUGUCGUGAGAUGUUGGGUUAAGUCCCGCAACGAGCGCAACCCUUUUCCUUAUUUGCCAGCGAGUAAUGUCGGGAACUUUAAGGAUACUGCCAGUGACAAACUGGAGGAAGGCGGGGACGACGUCAAGUCAUCAUGGCCCUUACGGCCAGGGCUACACACGUGCUACAAUGGUCGGUACAAAGGGUUGCUACCUAGCGAUAGGAUGCUAAUCUCAAAAAGCCGAUCGUAGUCCGGAUUGGAGUCUGCAACNNGACUCCAUGAAGUCGGAAUCGCUANNAAUCGCGGAUCAGAAUGCCGCGGUGANNACGUUCCC